This 389-nucleotide ribosomal RNA is filed under the name uncultured microorganism. RNAcentral's name for it is "bacterial SSU rRNA". It matches the Rfam family "Archaeal small subunit ribosomal RNA", at positions 330 to 720 of the family's 1478-position model. The record is from RNAcentral.
GUGCACCAGGCGAGAAAACUUCACACUGUGCGAAAGCACGAUGAGGGAAUCCCAAGUGCUUGCACGUAAGUGUAAGCUGUUUCUCUGUCUAAAACGCAGAGAGAGUAAGGGCUGGGUAAGACGGGUGCCAGCCGCCGCGGUAAUACCUGCAGCUCAAGUGGUGACCGUUAUUAUUGGGCCUAAAGCGUCCGUAGCCGGUUUAAUAAAUGCCUGGGUAAAUUGUGUAGCUUAACUAUACGAAUUCCGGGUAGACUGUUAAACUUGAGACCGGGAGAAGUUAGAGGUACUCCUGGGGUAGAGGUGAAAUUCUGUAAUCCUAGGGGGACCACCAGUGGCGAAGGCGUCUAACUAGAACGGGUCUGACGGUGAGGGACGAAGCCCUGGGGCGC